GAAUCUUCCGCAAUGGACGAAAGUCUGACGGAGCAACGCCGCGUGAGUGAUGAAGGUUUUCGGAUCGUAAAACUCUGUUGUUAGGGAAGAACAAGUACCGUUCGAAUAGGGCGGUACCUUGACGGUACCUAACCAGAAAGCCACGGCUAACUACGUGCCAGCAGCCGCGGUAAUACGUAGGUGGCAAGCGUUGUCCGGAAUUAUUGGGCGUAAAGCGCGCGCAGGUGGUUUCUUAAGUCUGAUGUGAAAGCCCCCGGCUCAACCGGGGAGGGUCAUUGGAAACUGGGAGACUUGAGUGCAGGAGAGAAGAGUGGAAUUCCACGUGUAGCGGUGAAAUGCGUAGAGAUGUGGAGGAACACCAGUGGCGAAGGCGACUUUCUGGUCUGUAACUGACGCUGAGGCGCGAAAGCGUGGGGAGCAAACAGG
RNAcentral lists this ribosomal RNA (426 nucleotides) under uncultured bacterium. RNAcentral describes it as "bacterial SSU rRNA". It matches the Rfam family "Bacterial small subunit ribosomal RNA", at positions 359 to 776 of the family's 1533-position model. The record is from RNAcentral.